Molecule: long non-coding RNA, 1021 nt
Organism: Mauremys reevesii (Reeves's turtle)
Lineage: Eukaryota; Metazoa; Chordata; Testudines; Geoemydidae
Exons: 2
Source: RefSeq, a predicted model, not a curated record
GGCACCGGGUCCAGGGAGGGACACCGGGGCUGAUAGGGAACAGGCGGGUCACCAGCCUGCCGAGGGUGCUCCAGGGCAGAACUGCGGGACAAUCUGAGCCCAACCAGCAGGAGGCGCGGCAGGGUGAUUCCUGAUGCCGCAAAACAGCUGAUCUGCAGCAGGAGGGAGGGGCAUAGACAGUGGAGCUGCUGGUGGAUUCUGAGCAAGAACAAUUUUUUCUUGUGGGUGCCCCAGUGCACCCAUGGAAUUAGCACCUAUAGCAUGGAGCUUCCUUCACCACCAGACCCCAUGUUGCCUUCCGCGCAGCUUGAAUAAUCUCUACUUUGAGGCGUAACCAUCAGAAAAAUCCAUUGUAAAGGGUUAUUGGUCUAUAAGGCUGUGUAGCUGAACUUUAAGUGAUAAAUAACUGUGUACAAUAUUACUGUAUUAUAUACGUGUAUCAAAUGAUGCCUUUUUUUGAAAGCUAAUGACACCUGGUGAUUAAUAUCACUGUGCAAUGUCUGAUGAUAUUAGGUUUUAAAUUUAUGGCCAAACAAGGAGAAUCAGGUUCCCUCCCAGGCAGGAGAGGGGGCAGCAAUCUACCUGUCUCCUGUGUAAAUUAAGCCUGGUGGAAUCAAAACAAUGGAAGCCCCAUUUGUGUAAAGGGUGAUGGGAAGCCCACAGGAAGGGAAGAACAGCGUGAUGUCGGCCUGCCUCUUGCAACAAGGUCACUGAACUUUCAAAGAUACAAAGAAGGACAGAAGCCAUCUCUGCCACCCAUCACUGGACAGACACAAGGGAACAGAGCCUCCAUCCCACCCCCUACCACCACAAGGCCAGGCUGAAGAUUCUCAGAACUGUAUAUAGAUGAGAAAAAAACAUCUUGAACAAACCCUGGACCUAGCUAGAUUAUGUUUUAGACUUUUAGAUGCAUGUUAUGUUCGGUUUUACUUCUAAUUCUUUCUGUUUUCUUUCUUUAUACUUGAAAUCACUUAAUCCUAUGUAUAUUUCCAGAAUAAAUUAGCUUUAUUUUUACCAUAAA